RNAcentral lists this ribosomal RNA (483 nucleotides) under uncultured bacterium. Its description in RNAcentral is "partial 16S ribosomal RNA". It matches the Rfam family "Bacterial small subunit ribosomal RNA", at positions 30 to 507 of the family's 1533-position model. The record is from RNAcentral.
AUUGAACGCUGGCGGCAGGCCUAACACAUGCAAGUCGAGCGGAUGAAGGGAGCUUGCUCCUGAUUCAGCGGCGGACGGGUGAGUAAUGCCUAGGAAUCUUCCUGGUAGGGGGGGGUAACGUCCGGAAACGGGCGCUAAUACCGCCAACGUCCUGAGGGAGAAAGUGGGGGAUCUUCGGACCUUACGCUAUCAGAUGAGCCUAGGUCGGAUUAGCUAGUUGGUGGGGUAAAGGCCUACCAAGGCGACGAUCCGUAACUGGUCUGAGAGGAUGAUCAGUCACACUGGAACUGAGACACGGUCCAGACUCCUACGGGAGGCAGCAGUGGGGAAUAUUGGACAAUGGGCGAAAGCCUGAUCCAGCCAUGCCGCGUGUGUGAAGAAGGUCUUCGGAUUGUAAAGCACUUUAAGUUGGGAGGAAGGGCAGUAAGUUAAUACCUUGCUGUUUUGACGUUACCAACAGAAUAAGCACCGGCUAACUUCGUG